This 353-nucleotide transfer-messenger RNA is filed under the name Dehalococcoidia. RNAcentral describes it as "Kmv37 sp014859215 Standard tmRNA". It matches the Rfam family "transfer-messenger RNA". From Rfam's summary of the family: Bacterial tmRNA, also known as 10Sa RNA or SsrA, is named for its dual tRNA and mRNA-like properties. Its role is to liberate the mRNA from a stalled ribosome. To accomplish this part of the tmRNA is used as a reading frame that ends in a translation stop signal. Lineage: Bacteria; Bacillati; Chloroflexota. RNAcentral also lists the same sequence under 1 other name. The record is from RNAcentral.
GGGGACGUGUGGUUCGACAGGGGAGUUUGUUUCAGAGUUGCAGGCCGAGGCGCCAUCGCCCUCGUAAAUCAGGUGGCAAAAAAGUAACUGGCGAACGCGAAUUCGCACUGGCAGCCUAACCUAGGCAGCCACGUCCAUCCUUGCCUCACCUCGACGGGCGGGAAUGGGCGCCGACAAGCCGAGGUGCUGCGGACCCCGACGCCGGUAAGGGACGCUUAAGAUAAAUCGGCUGGCGCUAUCGAAGUCGGUGGCUGGACGGCGAUAGAGCGAGACAAAUACAGCCAGCUAAGCCUGUAGAGACUCUGGAUGGGGCUCUUCUGGACGGGGAGUUCGACUCUCCCCCGUCUCCACCA